GAAUUCGCCCUUAAAGCUUUUUGCUGGCUCAGGACGAACGCUGGCGGCGUGCUUAACACAUGCAAGUCGAACGGGGUUGUUGAGGAGCUUGCUCUGAAGCAACCUAGUGGCGGACGGGUGAGUAACGCGUGAGCAACCUGUCUCAUACAGGGGGAUAACGACUGGAAACAGUCGCUAAUACCGCAUAAGACCACGAUCUCGCAUGGGAUAGAGGUCAAAGGAGUAAUCCGGUAUGAGGUGGGCUCGCGUCUGAUUAGAUAGUUGGUGAGGUAACGGCUCACCAAGUCGACGAUCAGUAGCCGACCUGAGAGGGUGAUCGGCCACAUUGGAACUGAGAUACGGUCCAAACUCCUACGGGAGGCAGCAGUGGGGAAUAUUGGGCAAUGGGCGCAAGCCUGACCCAGCAACGCCGCGUGAGGGAAGAAGGUUUUCGGAUUGUAAACCUCUGUCCUAAAUGAAAAGAAGAAGAUGGUAAUUUAGGAGGAAGCCCCGGCUAACUACGUGCCAGCAGCCGCGGUAAUACGUAGGGGGCGAGCGUUGUCCGGAAUGAUUGGGCGUAAAGGGCGCGUAGGCGGCCCGUUAAGUCUGGAGUGAAAGUCCUGCUUUUAAGGUGGGAAUUGCUUUGGAUACUGAUGGGCUUGAGUGCAGGAGAGGUUAUCGGAAUUCCCGGUGUAGCGGUGAAAUGCGUAGAGAUCGGGAGGAACACCAGUGGCGAAGGCGGGUAACUGGACUGCAACUGACGCUGAGGCGCGAAAGUGUGGGGAGCAAACAGGAUUAGAUACCCUGGUAGUCCACACUGUAAACGAUGAAUGCUAGGUGUAGGAGGUAUCGACCCCUUCUGUGCCGGAGUUAACACAAUAAGCAUUCCGCCUGGGGAGUACGGCCGCAAGGUUGAAACUCAAAGGAAUUGACGGGGGCCCGCACAAGCAGCGGAGCAUGUUGUUUAAUUCGAAGCAACGCGAAGAACCUUACCAGGUCUUGACAUCGAUGUAAACCCCUAGAGAUAGGGGGUGUCUUCGGACAACAGAAGACAGGUGGUGCAUGGUUGUCGUCAGCUCGUGUCGUGAGAUGUUGGGUUAAGUCCCGCAACGAGCGCAACCCCUAUGGUCAGUUACUAACGUGUAAAGGCGAGGACUCGACAAGACUGCCGGGGACAAACCGGAGGAAGGUGGGGAUGACGUCAAAUCAUCAUGCCCCUUAUGACCUGGGCUACACAUCGUGUUACAAUGGGUGGUACAAAGGGCAGCGAGACCGCGAGGUUAAGCAAAUCCCAUAAAACCACUCUCAGUUCGGAUUGCAGGCUGCAACUCGCCUGCAUGAAGCUGGAAUCGCUAGUAAUCGCGGAUCAGCAUGCCGCGGUGAAUACGUACGCGGCCCUUGCACUCACCGCCCGUCA
This 1396-nucleotide ribosomal RNA is filed under the name uncultured bacterium. RNAcentral's name for it is "bacterial SSU rRNA". It matches the Rfam family "Bacterial small subunit ribosomal RNA". The record is from RNAcentral.